Molecule: ribosomal RNA, 562 nt
Filed under: uncultured bacterium
Lineage: Bacteria
Description: bacterial SSU rRNA
Rfam family: Bacterial small subunit ribosomal RNA
Source: RNAcentral
CCUACGGGAGGCAGCAGUGGGGAAUAUUGGACAAUGGGCGAAAGCCUGAUCCAGCAAUGCCGCGUGAGUGAUGAAGGCCUUCGGGUCGUAAAGCUCUUUUACCAGGGAUGAUAAUGACAGUACCUGGAGAAUAAGCUCCGGCUAACUCCGUGCCAGCAGCCGCGGUAAUACGGAGGGAGCUAGCGUUGUUCGGAAUUACUGGGCGUAAAGAGUACGUAGGCGGUUAUUCAAGUCAGAGGUGAAAGCCCGGGGCUCAACCCCGGAACUGCCUUUGAAACUAGAUAACUAGAGUCUUGGAGAGGUUAGUGGAAUUCCGAGUGUAGAGGUGAAAUUCGUAGAUAUUCGGAAGAACACCAGUGGCGAAGGCGACUAACUGGACAAGUACUGACGCUGAGGUACGAAAGCGUGGGGAGCAAACAGGAUUAGAUACCCUGGUAGUCCACGCCGUAAACGAUGAUAACUAGUUGUUCGGUCACUUGGUGGCUGAGUGACGCAGCUAACGCAUUAAGUUAUCCGCCUGGGGAGUACGGUCGCAAGAUUAAAACUCAAAGGAAAUUGACGG